GACAGAGGGGGCAAGCGUUGUUCGGAAUUACUGGGCGUAAAGGGCGCGUAGGCGGCCGCCUAAGUCAGACGUGAAAUCCCUCGGCUCAACCGGGGAACUGCGUCUGAUACUGGGUGGCUUGAAUCCGGGAGAGGGAUGCGGAAUUCCAGGUGUAGCGGUGAAAUGCGUAGAUAUCUGGAGGAACACCGGUGGCGAAGGCGGCAUCCUGGACCGGCAUUGACGCUGAGGCGCGAAAGCUAGGGGAGCAAACGGG
Molecule: ribosomal RNA, 253 nt
Filed under: uncultured bacterium
Lineage: Bacteria
Description: partial 16S ribosomal RNA
Rfam family: Bacterial small subunit ribosomal RNA
Source: RNAcentral